Molecule: long non-coding RNA, 1154 nt
Organism: Micropterus salmoides (largemouth bass)
Lineage: Eukaryota; Metazoa; Chordata; Actinopteri; Centrarchiformes; Centrarchidae
Exons: 2
Source: RefSeq, a predicted model, not a curated record
UUGACAGCCGGUGACCGGAGUCAGUGAGUCAGGAAACAAGCCGAACCGUGCCGCGCCGGGGUUAGACAGAGAGCUCGACCCGGUGUCUCCACACACACAGAGCCGUAGCCUUUAUCUGAGGAUGGAAGGACAAGCGAAGGGGACAUUCACUGUCGGAUAAAUCACCGAGACGGAGAAAACGCACAGAAUUCAGGCGGGAAUCAUCUGAAACCGCCCGUUAGGAGUGAGACGGACCUGCCUGGGUGUUACGGUGAUUCUGGGCAGGUAAACGUUAGCAGGUAGCCCGGCUAGCUAGUCACGCAGCAGGGAGCUAGCCCACAGGUAGCUAGCAGCAAGCGUUUUAACUAACUAAUUAACGAGUUAGGGUGGAUGAACUGUUGCCAGACCCCAAAACGACAUCUUAGCACGGGUGAUUUUUACCUUUCUAAUUACCAGCUGCCUUUGUAAACGACUCUAAACUCCCCUUUGUUAUUGUCUUUUUUUUUUUUUUAAGGAGAAACUAGUGGUUGCUAGAGCUGAAGGGUUGAUUGACAGCUUGUCACAACCGGUUUUCCAGAUGUGGACUCGGCACGUUUUGGAUUAGCUUGCCCGGAGCCGCAGGACUGGCUGCGGACCAGGAAUGGCCUGGCUGCAACAAACUCUUGAGUGGACUCGACUCUAAACUGCUUCAACAAGCGAUGGACUGACACGUUAAGCUAGUCAGUUUAGGGAAAGGUCAUUCAGCCGUAAAUUUAAAAAAAAAAGACAGGCUGUCAGCUGGGUCACAAACACACACGAGGGAGUGUUUUUACAGGGAAGUGGAAGAAGAUGCACAGGACGGAAAACAAGAACAAGAGGAAACUCUGUAACAUGGAGCAGCUUCAGAGGGAAGAGAAGGAUGCGGCAGACCUCCCACGGUAUUUCCUCUUAUUCAGGAUCGUCACCGUGAAUCCAGAUUGUUUGCGCAGCUACAAUCUUGGUAAAAGCGAACAAAAACAGCAGCCGAGAAAGCUUCAGAACUCAGAACAGCCUGAAAACACCCAGUCACACGUCAGUAUAAUAACUUUACAGGCUGCUGAUUUAUGGUAAUGGAAAAGCGUUAUAAACUGGGCGCUUUGUGUGCACACAUUUUAUUCAACAAUUAAAGGAAUAAAAUAAAAACCUGCUGAGACAAA